Molecule: long non-coding RNA, 990 nt
Organism: Magnolia sinica
Lineage: Eukaryota; Viridiplantae; Streptophyta; Magnoliopsida; Magnoliales; Magnoliaceae
Exons: 2
Source: RefSeq, a predicted model, not a curated record
UCUUCUUUAAAUAUUCCUCGCCACAGAAGAUAGUGGAAGCGAGAAAAUCUACCUUCUUUCAUAGCUGCUUCUCGAAAGAAAGCCAUGGAAAAACCCACGUAUCUGAGAAAAGGAGAGAAGAAAGAUGAUGGGCUUUUUUCAUGUUGGGCCCACUUCAAGCUCAUUAGGAUUCCAUGGCAAAAGAGAGAGAGACAAGGACUAGAUCGCGGCAAGCUCACAAGAGCUGUUUUCUUCAGAACCAGGCAUGCAAAACCAGGUAGUUUCAGGUUUGCUGUCCGUACGUCGAAACCGCUUCCAGAUCGAUGAAUGGCGGUUUUGGAGGAACGUCGGUGGUUUUGGGUGGGCGGUUUUUGUUUUUUUUUUUGGGUGGAGUUCGUUUUGCCUCUGUCGCGACUCAGAAUCUUGGGUGUGUCGUUGCCCAAUGGGGUCCACAUGCUGAGUGGUCGGAUGUUUGGAACCGUCCAUGUUGUCGAAUCUAUGCUUUAUGGGUCACUUUAAGAAAAUUGCAGUGAAUGGACGGUUGGGACCAUCACUGUCUGUAGAUGAAUUUGUAACCAUGAAGAGAAUAUUUUCAAUGGUUCGCUUUCAACUCUAGAAAUCAACGGUUAGGAUCAUCAGUGAAGUGUGAUUGUAGGAGAAUAGCUCAUAUGAUGCAGUAAGGAGAAUAUGGACGGUUCAAUUCAUCGGACCACUCCUGCAUGUGGGUCACAGUGGGUGACUGUACACGCUUGAUCCUGAGUCGCGACGAGGUAAAACCAACUUGGGUGGUUUUCUCAUUUCUGUACGUGGUGGCCGUGUGGCGUGGUAUAUAUUUCGAGGUCUUUCUUGUACGUCGCGACUGAGGUUCAUCUAGACUCAUCUCUAUGUGAGGCCUACAUAGAGAUAUGGGUUGAAGAUCGAAACCGUUAGUCUUGGUGGUAUUGUUGAUGGGUCAUGAUAUGUAACUUUAAUUGAAUAAUAAUUAAUUUAGCUGUGAACUGUUGAGUAGGA